AUAUUACCAUGGCUCCUUCAAAACUGGCUGCAGACAGACCAAUGAUAGUGCUUGUUGUUUCCCCACUGAAUGCAUUAAUGCAGGAUAAAGUAAUUUCACUCUGCGAGAGGGAUGUUGCUGCAUGCUUCAGCAGUAUCGAUGCUGCAUAUGUGACUUCUUGUGAAGAUGUAUUGGAAAACGAAUAAGAAGAAUAUUUAGAUGAAGAAACUGAACUGAAAACGAAGACAAGUGCUUAUGGAAUCAAUUAAAGAUGGAAAUUUCAACAUAAUUUAUAUGCACCCAGAGACAGCUUUUGCAAGAGAGACAGUCAAACUUUUGAAGAGCCCUGCCUUCAAGAGUCGCAUAUGCUGGAUGUUGAAAUGCGCCCAUACAUUCAAAACAAUUCCACAUGCUUGCGCUUACAUUUGGUAAAUCGUUUUGGCUAAGCAGUGUCUUGUUUUCAGUGAACCAAUAUAGUUGUUGUAGUAAUUGUAUGGCUGGUUAAAUGACUGAGAGAUGCCAAUUUGAACCAUUUUAACUCUGAACCAUGAAAGAAUUUAAUCACAACAAUGUUCAAAUUAUUUGCUUGUUUUUAUUCAAUAUUGCAUACAUUAUACAUGCAAGUUAAAGUAUAUUAUAAAAACAGGGACUAUACAAACAGGUAUGUAUAGGUCCCUGAUAGAAUUGGGCAACAUAUUUUAAUUAAGUACAUGCUAUGUACCUAUCCUUAAACAUAACACAGUUGCUUAAACUUUCACAUUUGAUCAAUCCAAAAAUCAAUUUACUUGAAAUUGAAUAAGAAAUACCAGAUGUUUCCUGGUAAAGUUUUGUGAAAAUAGUCUGAAAAGAUGUAUUUUAAUGCGAAAGACAAUGUCAUAUUUACUGGAGUAUUUAAUUACUAUGAAAAAAAACACAUUUUUUCACCUAAAUCCCAUUUUAAUGGUUUUCUAGCAACUAGGUCAAUAACAAUGUGUUUAUAGUGUACCGGUAUUCUGAAUGUUUAUGUUGGGUACUCAUCAGUUCUGAUUAUGAUGACUUCCUUAAUGCAUACAUAUAUGUUACACUAGUCCAACUAAUCUAGGUCAAAAGUUGACACUAUUAUUCAAUUUUGCAACUAUCAAUAUCGGUCCUUCUUUAUCCAUAGCAAGUAGUCACUAAAUGCCUGGUAAAAACAUGAUAUUUAUGUUUAAUAUCUUUUCAAUUUAUUGCAUAUUUAAAUAACACUAUUAUUACAAUAUAUGUAUGUUGAAAAUCGUUACAAUAACAAUAAACGGCUCUAUGCAACUGGA
This is a long non-coding RNA of Dreissena polymorpha, 1268 nucleotides long. RefSeq lists it as uncharacterized. The record is from RefSeq and is a predicted model, not a curated record. NCBI's taxonomy places the organism in Eukaryota, Metazoa, Mollusca, Bivalvia, Myida, Dreissenidae. The transcript is spliced from 2 exons.